Molecule: small RNA, 257 nt
Filed under: Chinchilla lanigera (long-tailed chinchilla)
Lineage: Eukaryota; Metazoa; Chordata; Mammalia; Rodentia; Chinchillidae
Description: Metazoan signal recognition particle RNA (ENSCLAG00000021941.1)
Rfam family: Metazoan signal recognition particle RNA (bases 87-199)
Source: RNAcentral
UCCAUCACUGUCAAAAUCACCACCAUCAUGGGAGGAUCGCUCGAGCCCAGGCUGCAGUGCACUAUGCAGAUCCGGUGUCUGCACUAAGUUUGGCAUAAGUAUGGUGACCUCUUGGGAGCAGGGGACCACCAGGUUGCCUAAGGAGGGGUGAACCGGCACAUGUCGGAAACGGAGCAGGUCAAAACUCCCGUGCUGAUCAAAAUCACCACCAUCCUGACUUCUAGCAUUAGUCUAGCUUUGCCUCUUCUUUGAGCUGU